GUAGCCUACGGGAGGCAGCGGUGAGGAAUAUUGGUCAAUGGGCGGAAGCCUGAACCAGCCAAGUCGCGUGAGGGAAUAAGGCCCUACGGGUCGUAAACCUCUUUUGCCGGGGAGCAAGGGCCGGGACGCGUCCCGGCCCGGAGAGUACCCGGAGAAAAAGCAUCGGCUAACUCCGUGCCAGCAGCCGCGGUAAUACGGAGGAUGCGAGCGUUAUCCGGAUUUAUUGGGUAUAAAGGGGGCGUAGGCGGGCUUUUAAGACAGCGGUAAAAAUUCGGGGCACAAAC
This 284-nucleotide ribosomal RNA is filed under the name uncultured bacterium. Its description in RNAcentral is "partial 16S ribosomal RNA". It matches the Rfam family "Bacterial small subunit ribosomal RNA", at positions 334 to 614 of the family's 1533-position model. The record is from RNAcentral.